AUGUAGAGAAUAGUUUCAUCUAAUUUAUGAAUUUAAAUAUAGAUUAUUCUUUCAUAGAGCUAAGUGCUUGAUUAACACCAAAAGUUUCUUUCUCCAUUUUUUCUGUUUCUAGUGUCCUUGUGGAAUCAGCUCUUACGAAAUUAAUUGUUUUGCAUGUAUUACCGUAUGACAAUUGAUGCAGGAGUUAGAUUUGACAAAUGUUCGUGAACUUGAAGAUUGCAUGUAUUACCCUAUGACAAAUUACAAACCAUAGAGAUAGUUGGAAGAGUCAUUAUGGAGAAACAGGUUUAUGUACGACAUUCAUGCAGGACAAAAUACUUGGCACAUGUGAACACAUUAUUAACAGAUGUGCAAAAG
Molecule: long non-coding RNA, 357 nt
Organism: Vigna angularis (adzuki bean)
Lineage: Eukaryota; Viridiplantae; Streptophyta; Magnoliopsida; Fabales; Fabaceae
Exons: 3
Source: RefSeq, a predicted model, not a curated record